AAUGAACGCUGGCGGCAGGCCUAACACAUGCAAGUCGAACGGAUCCUUCGGGAUUAGUGGCGGACGGGUGAGUAACGCGUGGGAACAUACCCAAAGGUACGGAAUAGCCUCGGGAAACUGGGAGUAAUACCGUAGGUGCUCGAAAUAGGAAAGAUUUAUCGCCUUUGGAUUGGCCCGCGUCGGAUUAGGUAGUGGGUGGGGUAAUGGCCUACCAAGCCGACGAUCCAUAGCUGGUGUGAGAAGAUGAUCAGCCAAAACGGGACGGAGACACGGCCCAGACUCCUACGGGAGGCAGCAGUGGGGAAUCUUAGACAAUGGGGGAAACACUGAUCUAGCCAUGCCGCGUGAUCGAUGAAGGCCUUAGGGUUGUAAAGAUCUUUCAGGUGGGAAGAUAAUGACUGUACCACCAGAAGAAGCCCCGGCUAACUCCGUGCCAGCCGCCGCAGUAA
RNAcentral lists this ribosomal RNA (449 nucleotides) under uncultured bacterium. RNAcentral describes it as "partial 16S ribosomal RNA". It matches the Rfam family "Bacterial small subunit ribosomal RNA", at positions 29 to 523 of the family's 1533-position model. The record is from RNAcentral.